This 21-nucleotide unclassified non-coding RNA is filed under the name Mus musculus (house mouse). RNAcentral describes it as "oocyte_clustered_small_RNA9869". The record is from RNAcentral. Lineage: Eukaryota; Metazoa; Chordata; Mammalia; Rodentia; Muridae.
ACGAUCUGAUGAUCGGCGCUC